UAUUUCCGUACCCCUUUACUGUUGUCUUUUGCCUGUCAUUCGGCUAGCAAGGUGAGCUAGGACUGCGCCAAGGGUUAACAUAAUGUGUGUCGUCUCUUCGUGUGCAGGGCAAAUAAAAAUAAGUCCACUAGCAGACCUUCAGUUGUGGCAGCGUCCUAAUUAAAAGUACACAACGCAGAACGAACCACGCUACAUUUGUAUAUGUGGGUGAUGGUUAAUCUUUAUAGACACAGACCCGAAGACAUUCAAGCAGAAAGCAUCCCAAGUCUCUAAUGGUCCCGGUACUGGUUGAUAUGCCGGCCUAAGUGACCACACACUCAAAUGGACCUACAGCUGUUGGUUGGGACACACGAUGAGCAUGAUUUGAAUGCUGCAACUGAGACUGAAUGAUGUUUAGGGACACGUGCUGAGAUCGUGUGACUGGACAUGGGCCGGGUAUUUGUGACCACGACCUACAAGGGGUGAAAAAGCACAGCAGCAACCACUUUUUUUAUGUUUAUUCCAUCCCUCUAGCUACCCCUUAUUCCACACUAUGCCUUUUAUGUUCCCUCAACUUCGGACACUUUGGAAUGCUCCAUCUUCUCUCAAUAAACCCACCCUACCUUCACCCAUUUUCCCUAUACUGGUUCCUUCACUUGUUCUUCCCCCUCAUUUGAUAACAUCUAGACUCUAACACAUUUAAGUGUUGUGGUGUACUGGUUUUGCAAGCUUUUUUUUUCACCUGUGUAAUGAAUGCUGUCCUGCUUAUUCUGUGGUUCAUACUAAAUGUAGUGGUAAAUGUGCUUCUCACAAUUGACAGCAGCAACAUGGAACUGUUAAAUUGAGAAGAUGAGUGUUGACAUUACUUUAGGCAUGGCUUCCAUGUUUUGAGUAUGUUAGAUGAUUUUCUCAUUUGAUCUAGUACUUUUUAAAAUUAAACCUA
This is a non-coding RNA of Oncorhynchus mykiss (rainbow trout), 922 nucleotides long. The record is from RefSeq and is a predicted model, not a curated record. Lineage: Eukaryota; Metazoa; Chordata; Actinopteri; Salmoniformes; Salmonidae.